RNAcentral lists this microRNA (21 nucleotides) under Homo sapiens (human). RNAcentral describes it as "hsa-miR-1909-5p". Lineage: Eukaryota; Metazoa; Chordata; Mammalia; Primates; Hominidae. The record is from miRBase by way of RNAcentral.
UGAGUGCCGGUGCCUGCCCUG